UACGUAGGUGGCAAGCGUUGUCCGGAUUUACUGGGCGUAAAGGGAGCGUAGGCGGACUUUUAAGUGAGAUGUGAAAUACCCGGGCUCAACUUGGGUGCUGCAUUUCAAACUGGAAGUCUAGAGUGCAGGAGAGGAGAAUGGAAUUCCUAGUGUAGCGGUGAAAUGCGUAGAGAUUAGGAAGAACACCAGUGGCGAAGGCGAUUCUCUGGACUGUAACUGACGCUGAGGCUCGAAAGCGUGGGGAGCAAACAGGAUUAGAUACCCGGGUA
Molecule: ribosomal RNA, 269 nt
Filed under: uncultured prokaryote
Description: partial 16S ribosomal RNA
Rfam family: Bacterial small subunit ribosomal RNA
Source: RNAcentral